GAGCAGUGCUGGUGCUGGAGCCGCGCAGCUAUGACGUCCCUCGCCGCCCAGCUCCUCACCCUCAUCCUAGUGGCGGGUGUCCGUGCAGCACCUGGUGGAGGAGACACGUCAGUAUGCUCAAGGGAGUGUCCCGUCGCCGGCGCCCCCAAGUUCUUCUACCAACCAGGAAAGACCUACGCUUACGCGUACUCCGGAAACUCCAAGGUUAAGCUCGAGGGUGUGGAAGGUGGACACACAGAGACGAGUUGGUCAGCACAAGUUGAGGUGUCAUGGAUCACUCCCUGUGACAUGGUCAUCUCUAUGAAAGAUUACAAGACGGAUGGUGACAACGUGCCAGCAGCCGCCAGGUUCCUGGAGAGGUACCCGCUGGUGGUGGCGGUGGCCGACGGCCGGGUUCAACACGUGUGUAGUCAUCAUGAUGACGACGCCUGGUCCAUCAACAUGAAGAAGGGCGUCGCCUCAAUCUUCCAGAACUCUCUCCCAUCCAAUUCAUCCUUCUACACUGGUCAAAAUGUCAUUGAGACGGAUGUGUUAGGAACGUGCCCAACGAGGUACGAGGUGCACAACCAUCGAGAUAGAGUCAUUAUGAAGAAGGAGAAGAACCACCGAGUGUGUAAGCAGCGUUACCCGACCCCUGCUGAGACCCAGGUUCCCUGGCUCAAAGGUCUUCUGCCACUGGAAAAGUCCCACUCUAUGUGUCAACAAGAGAUCAAGAACGGAAUCUACUCCAGCAUCACCUGUGAGGAUGAGAACGUGGUCAGACCCAGCUAUGGUCUCUAUAAGUAUAUUGAAGCCAGACAGGAGUCCACUCUGAGAUUCAUCUCAGAAUCCAACGACCAAUCAGCUGCCGCCUCUGCCAUCCCUCAAGCUAACAUGGAACGCAAGAGUCUCCGGUAUGACUACGAUACCCUCAAGAAGGACCCGUCCAUGGUGGCCCAGUUGGACCAGACCAUGAAGCAGAUCUGUGAGAAGACUAAAGAUGCCGUUGAGCGUGAUGUUGCUGCUCUGGUAGCCAAGGCUGCACAACUCCUGCGACGAGUCCCUGAGGAAGCCAUAACACAAACUUUGGACAAAAUCCGCAGCGGACAGUUUUGUCAAGAUCACAAGAAACUAGAGCAACUUUUUCUGGACGUUGUUGUUUUCAUCCAUGAGUCUGGUUCCGUAAAGGUUAUGGUAAAGGAGCUGACAAGUGGACACACCUCGGUAGUUCGUCGAGCCCUCUACUCAGCAGCUUUAUUCAGUCUUCCCCGUCCAAGUAUCCAUGCCAUGGUCGCUCUCAAGCCAUUGUUCGAAUCUGCUCAUCCUCUACCAAUGGCAACCCUGGCUGGUGCCUCUCUGGUCAAUACUUACUGCCGGCAUAAUCACAACUGCGAUGAAAUAGAACCAGUUAAGAGCCUAGCUGAAGCUCUAGGUCACAAACUACAAAGACAGUGUUCUCCUUCUGACGAUGAAGAGACAGAAAAAGCUGCCCUGACAACACUUAAGGCUCUGGGUAACAUGGGCAUAAUGACCCAAGAGGUGGCCAGGUCUGUCCUCAGAUGCAUGGAAACAGAAGGUGUUAAGAACAACAUCCGCGUGGCCGCCGCACAAGCCUUCAGACAAACAAAAUGUCAUCACCAGUCAACAGAGCAGCUUGUAAAUUUUUCUGUUGAUAUUGCAAUGGCCUCUGAGGUUCGGAUUGCAGCCUAUCUUAUGGCAGUUCGGUGUGCUGAGAAGAAGAACUUAGAAUUGAUUAUUACCAAAAUUUCUCAAGAGGAAAAUACACAAGUUCGUGGAUUUAUUUUGAGCCAUCUUCUUAACCUCCAGCAAUCAUAUGCACCUGAGAAAGUAGAAAUCCGGUAUCUUUUAUCAAAUAUUGUGAUUCCUAGGAACUUUAAUAAGGACAUAAGAAAAUAUUCUCGCAAUAUAGACCUAGCGUACUUCUCGCCGGCCCUGGGGGCUGGUGCCGGCGUGGAGUCCAACAUCAUCUACUCUCCGGGAUCCUUUGUCCCUCGCUCUAUUGACUUCAACCUCACCGCCGCCUUAGAGGGAAUCUUAAUGAACUUAGGCGAGGUUGGAGUCCGGCUUGAGGGUUUGGAACCCAUCUUCGAGGAAAUAUUUGGUCCUGAAGGAUACGUCCAGAAAACUAGUUUAAGACAAAUUUUAAAAGAUGUGACUCGGUUUAUUAAACAAACGGGUGGAACAAUAUUUGAGCAUUUCCUGCACCAGCUGAGAACUAAACGAUCCGUUGACUUUUCCCAUGCAACUGAAAUAUUUGAGAAGAUCUAUAAUAGUGACAAACUCAAAACUAUUCAGGCUGAUAUUUUUGCUCGCUUUAUGGGCCAAGAGAUUAGUUUUGCUUCAUUUUCUGGAGAAGUGAAAGACAUUAGUGUUGAUAAAAUGACUGAAUUCUUAUUAUCAUACAUCAGUGAUAUCCUGAACCAAAUUAAAACCUUGAACGUCAAUAUAGCUCGAACAUUUCAGAUUAGUUUUGACUACUCCUUCCCCACCAUUCAGGGUACACCAUUCAAACUCAUGAUGGAAGGAACGGCUGUUACUGGGCUGCAAAUAGAAGGCAAUCUCAAUCCUUUAGACUUCUUAUAUAAUUGGAAGAAGGGCAAUAAUACUAUUAAGAUUAUUCCUAGUGUGUCUGUAUACACUGAUGGGUUUAUUGGGUAUGAUACAUUCCUCACUAAGACAGGAAUCAAGGCAAAUACCACCUUGUCCAAGAUAUACGGCGCCACUCUCAAUGUUAAGCCACAGAACAAUACUGAGCAGAAUGAGAUGGAAGUUCAAUGGGAUCUUCCUGAACAUAUAGAACUUAUUAAUGUGAAGAGUGAGACAUACCUCAUGAAGAGUGAGAGAGGCAGCCCAGAGACCAAGAUCAUCCCACCAUCCAUGAAGGACAUCAGAAUAAGAACCCAGUCAUGUAUCAACAAUCUUGAACCCAUUCUAGGUCUGAAGUUAUGUUAUGAACUGGACAUCCCGGAUAUCUUCCGUAGCAACUCCCUGCCAUUUGGGGCCCCGACCAUUGCCAAGCUAUACGUCGAGAAGGAAGAAUCGUCUUUGACGGGUUAUCGUAUGACAGUAGUCACUCAGGACAAGAAAGAAAGUAAGAUGGCGGUAGUGAAGGUAGAAUCAUCCGGUUCUUCAACACCAAAAGAGGCUGAAGUAACUCUAUCCCACAUCAUUCAAGGAAAUGCUUGCGUUAUUUCUGCUCGAUUAAGAUCAUCUGCUGUUACCAGUGGAAUCUGGGUCACCAUCAUCAAUGAGGAAGGUCACAAGGGUGUCGAAGUUUAUGCUAACUACAAGUCUAACCGGACAGAAUUAUCUCGUGGCAUUAAGAUAGAUGUCAUAACCGAGUCAACGCCAACAAAGAACAAAUAUGAAUUAGACAUCUACAUUAGCCGGAAUAGAUACUUCCCUCCUGAAUCACAAAUAUUCGAGAGCAAGUUUGUCGGGAGAUUCAGAGAAUGUAAUAUGUCUGUGGACUUCUUAUUCACGAUAAAGAAUGCCCUAAGAAACUACUUUGUCUCAGAUAUAGAAUUUGGAGCAGACCUGAGGCACACCACGUUCCCCUACAUUCUUAUGCUGACUAAACUGCGCAAGUUUGAGUUCCAUGGCGAGAUAUCUGACUGGCAAAUCAUCUCCUUCAUUCAUCAGACUAAAGAAUCUGGGGAGAGCGCUGAGCAUUCAUCUUCCUUCAAGAUUACAAAGAGGAAUGAAGACCUGGUGAAUGUUGUGGCCUCCCACACAACAAAAGGAACUUUGAACCAAAAUUUUGUCACCAAAACAAAAGCUAAAGUAAAAAUAGGUAGUACUGGGUACAAAACAUCUUCCACCAUCUUCUAUGAAGACCUGAAAAAAGGAGCAUCUCUGGAAGUAAUUCGCGCUAGCGACGGUGUGAAGGUGGCGGACCUGGAAGUCAUGAAUGAUAGGUCUGACCAGUCAUGCUACACCUUAGUCUUGGUGGACAUACCAGAGUACAUGAGAGCCAUCAAGUUUGAGAGCAAGGCGGCGGAGCAGGGAGAGGAUCGUACAUGCUUCAAGCCGCCGUCAAGCAUGGAGAACUUAUCCUUCUUCGCGCUCAAGGACCACUCACAGCCACGUUUUCUUCCAAUGUGACCAUCCUUAAGACAGACAUUAAACUUGAAUUGUUCGGUAGAGUUCACAGGGUCGCUGCCACUCUCAACCAUUCAGAGCAUCGUUUACUUAUGGACCUAGAUGUGAAAAAUGAACGGCAGUCGUUAUUGUCUUGUGAAUGGAAUAUGCUGACUGAACCAAAUAUCGAGAAGACUACAAUCGGCUUUAAGUUCCUUCUGCCUGUACUCAUGGAUAGUCGAGUGGACGCUAUUGUCGGGAAGAGGGUCAUCUAUCUCAAUACCGACACCCUGCUCUUCCCACAGAGCUCCUUCCAUCGAAGAAUUAUUAGUGGACUUGAUUUGGACUUUGAGCAUUACAUAGUGGCGACACAUGUCUCAUGGGACGCAGAUGCUGACCCAAAUAAGAGAAUCUCAGCUUAUGGUCGGUUUUUUACCAGACCCAGUAACCCUAAGUUCACUUUCUACAUAGGCACUGUCAAGUGGCUGAACGAGACCUACAUUGUCAAAAUGAAUCUCACAGAAGCCAACCUUUUAGCCCAUUUCCAGGGAGAGAAUGGUUUGGAACUUGAAAUAAUUACUGCCGCUAACAAAACUUGUAUAUAUGAGGUGAAGAACACUGUUCAGCAACAACAUAACUCUAUUAAUAUACAUACCCGUUUUCGCUACAAGAACCUGGAGAAUAACGAUUACAGAUUAGCAAGUGUCAUAGGUUUGGAAAGCCUGGGCAGCCCAUACAACUACAAGCUUGCUUUGCAACUCAACUACAUGUCACCAGAGGGCCACACCACGAGCCUCACAACGAAAGCUAUGCAUCACAGUACACCAGAGGCCCGGGUCAUAUAUGUAAAGAGUGCAACGUCGACUUCUAGUACGAGGAAGCCUUUACAGGUAGAGUUCCAGUCCUCCAGUGAGGAGAACUCUUAUAACAUCCACUGGAAGGCGGACCUGGACUCUCCAGUCACCAUGUUCAAGUGGGACAUGGUGACGCACCAGGAGGGUGGUGUCAAAUCUUUGGAGUCUUCGAUAGAUAUGACAGCUGUCCGUGACCUAAUAAAGACAGCGCUUAGUAUGAUUGAAGGAAGAGGAGACAAUGAAGACAUUAUGGAAGAGCAACAUAACAGAGAAAGUUACAAAGAACGUCAAGAAGACUAUAACACCGACACAGAUAAACAUCGAGACAGGGAAAGUUAUGAAGGACGCCAAAGAGAAGAUUAUGACAGCGGCAGGGACGAAUAUGGGGAUAAUCAGAAUUACAAGAGAGGUCAAGGCAAAGACUAUGACAAUGACAGAUCUGAAUAUCAAGAUAGACAGAGUUACCAGGGAGGCCAAGGCAAAGACUAUGACAAUGACAGGUCUGAAUACCAGGAUAGAGAGAGUUACCAGGGAGGCCAAGGCAAAGACUAUGACAAUGACAGGUCUGAAUACCAGGAUAGACAGAGUUACCAGGGAGGCCAAGGCAAAGACUAUGACAAUGACAGGUCUAAAUACCAGGAUAGAGAGAGUUACCAGGGAGGCCAAGGCAAAGACUAUGACAAUGACAGAUCUGAAUACCAGGAUAGAGAGAGUUACCAGGGAGGCCAAGGCAAAGACUAUGACAAUGACAGAUCUGAAUACCAGGAUAGAGAGAGUUACCAGGGAGGCCAAGGCAAAGACUAUGACAAUGACAGAUCUGAAUACCAGGAUAGAGAGAGUUACCAGGGAGGCCAAGGCAAAGACUAUGACAAUGACAGAUCUGAAUACCAGGAUAUUGUGGAGGGUUACCAGAGGGAUCAAGGCGAGGACUAUGCCAACAAAACGGGUAAACCUCUGGACGACAAGGACAACAAAGAACGACAAGGUGAAGACUAUGACAACGAUAGAGGCGAAUAUCAGGAUAGACCGGGUUACCAGAUAAGAAAAAGAGAAGCCUAUAGGAAUACAAAUGACAUGGACGAACAUCAUGUUAGAGAGAUUUACAGCUGCCUCUAUCAAAAUCCCACACCCAACACCUUCGCUAUGAUCUUUAAAUCUCCAUCCCGCACUAUGGAGGGUGACGUCGAGUAUUCUCCUUCAGCGUCAAGUCUCAGGUUCUAUCCUAACAAGGCUAAGAGUGAGGCAAAAUACGAGAUCGCGGCCAAGUCCUCCCACAGCUACCGGGAUCACCAGUCCAAGUACGAAGGUCGCAUUAGUCAUCCACGUCUGGCAAGAGACUUGCAAGUUAAGGUUCAGCAUUCGGGCAGUGGAGAAGAACUGAGAGGUUCUAUUGAACUGGACGUCUUCCCAGAUACAGCAGACAAAAUUGUGGGCACCUUCCAGUCAACUAAAACUGCUAACAAUACAAUCAAAAUUGAAGUAGCAUUAGCCACAAGGAUACUAAUGGAGCUUCCCAAGGUCACCAUAGUGAUGGCCUAUGCUCCCCACACGGCUGGCAUUGAUCUCCAGUUCCAGAAGUCUCCCUCCUCCCCGGUAACCUUCCAGGUGUCGGCCAUAUACGACCGGGUCUCCCCUAGAGAUGCAACAAUGGCCUUCCGUGUGAUUAACGCUGGAGUCUCCGUGGUGGACAUCGCUGGAACGACGCAGCGUGAAGAAGAUCCCGAGUGUAACGGCCACAAGGUCAAGGCUGUGGCUCACAUUUCAUCCUUCGGCUCUUACGAAGUUCACUCCAAGUUCUGUAAACCUGCCUUCAUCCAACUAUCAAUAAAUAAGCUACAUAGUCAGUAUAUUUACGCUGCAAGGUGUGGGUUCCAGACCCCAAAGAACGCUGAGGUCAGUUUGGCUGUGGAAUUUAAUGGCUCACCGCAAAGAUAUGUCAUUGCAGAGAUGCAAGCACAGUUGACCUCUCCAACCCUGAUCAGUGUUGAUGUGGCUUUUGUCGAACAACAUUUUACCAGAGUUAAGAAUAAUGUGGUAGCGGCGUGCAGGCGAGUGAUGGGGUCUGUUCAGACGUGGGCUGGCAGCGUGUAUAACUACAUGAAGGACCAAGCUCAGCAGCGAGGCAUUCUCUUCCCAAACCCUCAGAUACUUUCCCUCAUAAACCAAGUCGAUCUCGAUCUGCGAGAAAUAUAUGAAGAUGUCUAUGAUGUAAUUGUACCUAAGUUUGAGGCUUUCUGUCACACCAUAACUCCCGUGGUAGCCUACGUCCAACAAUAUUGCUACGACUUUUUAUUAGGCUUGGCCGAUGCGCAAAAGUUCAUCGUAGACAGUAUUGUCGAAGAAUUGCUUUACAUUCGGAAUGAAUCAAAUAAAUUUACAAUGAUGAUUAUGAACCGAGUAAUGGAUGCUGCCCGCUGGAUGCAGUUCGGGAUGGUGCCUCCCUGGGUGGAGGACCUGCGACAACAGCUGGAAAAGACCAGGAUCUACGCGAUAUUCAAGAACAUCUACGACGCCAUAACCGCGCGCUAUCCUGAGGAGUGUGAAGCCGUGUGGAAUAUGGCGUCUAAAUUCAGACAAACUUUGUGGGAUGAUAUUAACAUUCUCCGUUUGUAUUAUUUCCGGUUGCCUCCUAUCCUGAGGACGCUACUGUGGCUCGUCAACUCAUUCGUUGGUGAGAAUUGGGUGAUUUUUGAAGCGAAUGCAUUAACCAGUGAAGUAAAUAAAGAAAUUUUAUUAGUUUCUGUAGAAAAAGAAAAACAUCAUAUGAAUGUGCAAAUUCCUUUACACACUCCAAUGUAUUCUUUAACUCAAGUUCUCCAAACAGCAAUGCCGUACCCUAUCACAAUAUAUCAGAAUGUGGCGUGGAGGUACGACACAUUCAUACCUGUUUCAAUCAAUGACUUGAUAUGGGCAUACUACACCUUGCUGCCCCGUCACAAGAGGGAUGUGUUGCCCCCAUACAACCGCACCGCCAUGGUUGUGAGCGACACAGAGAUCCUCACCUUUGACGGCGCUGUGCUCCGAGCACCACCUUCACCGUGUGAGGUUAUUUUAGCUAUCUACAAAUCCAACAAGCUUACCAUGUCCCAUCCAGAACGAUCAUCCCCGCCACAAAUCACCUUAUCAACUCACUCCACUACCGUCGUUAUCAAAGCGGACUUCCGUGUUGAGAUUAAUGGACAAGAGAUGAGCAUGGCACAAGUAACUGUUGGCGAGCUCACAAUCCAGAAGACGCCACAAGAAGUCAGUUUAACGUUACCCUACAUGUCUGUCCGAAUAUUCCUACAACGACGUGUGAUUUCAGUAAACGUUGGGGGCUGGGCCUUCGGUCACAUAACGGGCCUUCUUGGUAGUUACGAUGGCGAAACUGGUAAUGAUUGGCUGAUGCCUUCUGGUGUCAGGGCUUCCAGCCUACAAGAGCUGGUGUUCUCGUGGCAAGAGAGUCAAGAGUGCCGCACUCCACCCGUCCCUCCAGUGUCACCCGACAAUAUUAAUAUACUGUGGGCAGCUCAAUGUAAUGAACUUCUGGAAAUUCGAUCGAGGUGCUCUCCGUUGAUCAGUCCGGAACCGUUCAUCAAAAUAUGUUAUGGGAUUACUCAGACUUGCCGCGCUGCAUAUGCGUACCAAACCAUGUGCUCCACCAGAGGCAUUGACCUGGUCUUCCCUACUUACUGUAAAUAGCAUCAUGUGACUGCUUAGAUGCACACUAACAAGGCCUUAUGUAACAUUAUUUUGUAUAUUAACAUAUGCAAGAGAAAUACAAAUGUAAAUUAAAAGCAUUUCAAUUAUAUUAAUCUAAAAUAGAAAUAUUGUGAAGAUAUGUAUUUUUAGCUCCAACAAAUGUAAGCAUAAUACUAAGGACUUUGAGCUAUAACACUGUAUGUUUCUUAGAUUCUUAUCAGUCGUUUGGACAUGGUCUUUGUGGCAACGUGUCAUAUGUAAGAGUUAACAUUAUUCAAUAUUGAGUCUUGAAAACUGGAGCUGUACAAGCACUGCUGUCUACAUGCACAAGAUUUCCGUCACAGUCAAACGGUUCUUUGUAUAUCAGAAUAUGAUGACAGUGAGGAAGAGUGUAACAAUAAUAGAGUUGAGGGGCAUUUUGGUGUCAGCAGCAGAGGUGUUUGGGCUUACGGUGAACCACGAGUUGCCACAGAGAUACAUUUCACAUUCAGAUCUCUAGAAAAGAGCUUUCACACCGGCCAGUGUGUGUGUGUGCCGAGUUCUCCAUCUCGCAGGGGACUUGAGAGGAUAACUUAAGGGCAACUGCUCUUUGGUAAAGUUUUUACCAAGCUUAUCUACGAAUAAGGUUAACUGUUGCAAAAUACUAUAUAUAUAUAUGUUUAAUUACAAAAGUAUAGACAGAUUCAUUGUUCUUGUUUCAUCAAUCUUUCCCUCGUUGUUGGAUUGAUGCAUCAUAUAUGUACGAUGAUGACAAAUUGAUGCAGCGUAUGUGUUUAAUGA
Molecule: non-coding RNA, 9395 nt
Organism: Procambarus clarkii (red swamp crayfish)
Lineage: Eukaryota; Metazoa; Arthropoda; Malacostraca; Decapoda; Cambaridae
Source: RefSeq, a predicted model, not a curated record